This 626-nucleotide long non-coding RNA is filed under the name Zea mays. Its description in RNAcentral is "long non-coding RNA (ZMAY_LNC003145)". Lineage: Eukaryota; Viridiplantae; Streptophyta; Magnoliopsida; Poales; Poaceae. The record is from RNAcentral.
CGAAGGCUAACACCUACGGAUUUUUGACCAAGAAAUGUUCUCCACCAGAAAUCCAAGAAUGUGAUCUAUGGCAAGGAAACAUAUGUGGGGUGAGGUGUAUGAGCCUCUGGUCGAUGAUCAAUGGCUACACAACCCCCAUUUUUGUCGAAAAUAGCCAUGAACGACCAUUUUCAAUAAUACUGAAGGCUAACACGUACGGAUUUUUGACCAAGAAAUGGUCUCCACCAGAAAUCCAAGAAUGUGAUCUAUGGCAAGAAAACAUAUGUGGGGUGACGUGUACGAGCCUCUGGUCGGUGAUCAAUGGCCAUACAGCCCCCAUUUUGUCGAAAAUAGCCAUGAAUGACCAUUUUCAAUAAUACCGAAGGCUAACACCUACGGAUUUUUGACCAAGAAAUGGCCUCCACCAGAAAUCCAAGAAUGUGAUCUAUGGCAAGGAAACAUAUGUGGGGUGAGGUUUACGAACCUCUGGUCGAUGAUCAAUGGCCACACAACCCCCAUUUUGGUCGAAAAUAGCCAUGAACGACCAUUUUCAAUAAUACCGAAGGCUAACACCUACGGAUUUUUGACCAAGAAAUGGUCUCCACCAGAAAUCCAAGAAUGUGAUCUAUGGCAAGGAAACAUAUGUG